Molecule: ribosomal RNA, 465 nt
Filed under: Vreelandella stevensii
Lineage: Bacteria; Pseudomonadati; Pseudomonadota; Gammaproteobacteria; Oceanospirillales; Halomonadaceae
Description: partial 16S ribosomal RNA
Rfam family: Bacterial small subunit ribosomal RNA
Source: RNAcentral
CCUACGGGAGGCAGCAGUGGGGAAUAUUGGACAAUGGGGGGAACCCUGAUCCAGCCAUGCCGCGUGUGUGAAGAAGGCCCUCGGGUUGUAAAGCACUUUCAGUGAGGAAGAACGCCUGGUGGUUAAUACCCAUCAGGAAAGACAUCACUCACAGAAGAAGCACCGGCUAACUCCGUGCCAGCAGCCGCGGUAAUACGGAGGGUGCGAGCGUUAAUCGGAAUUACUGGGCGUAAAGCGCGCGUAGGUGGCUUGAUAAGCCGGUUGUGAAAGCCCCGGGCUCAACCUGGGAACGGCAUCCGGAACUGUCAAGCUAGAGUGCAGGAGAGGAAGGUAGAAUUCCCGGUGUAGCGGUGAAAUGCGUAGAGAUCGGGAGGAAUACCAGUGGCGAAGGCGGCCUUCUGGACUGACACUGACACUGAGGUGCGAAAGCGUGGGUAGCAAACAGGAAUAGAUACCCUGGUAGUC